Molecule: transfer RNA, 89 nt
Filed under: Bacilli bacterium
Lineage: Bacteria; Bacillati; Bacillota; Bacilli
Also listed under: 1 other name
Description: tRNA-Ser
Rfam family: tRNA
About the family: Transfer RNA (tRNA) molecules are approximately 80 nucleotides in length.
Source: RNAcentral
GGAGACGUACUCAAGUGGUUAAGAGGACACCCUGCUAAGGUGUUAGGCCGUUCUGCGGCGCAUGAGUUCGAGUCUCAUCGUCUCCGCCA